CAGGUGCCAGCAGCCGCGGUAAUUCCAGCUCCAAUAGCGUAUAUUAAAGUUGUUGCAGUUAAAAAGCUCGUAGUUGGAUUUGUGGUUGGAGAGGUCCGCCGUUGCUAUGCUUCGUGUUGGAUCUUUCCGUCCAUCCUUGGGUGGAUCCUGUGUGGCAUUCAGUUGUCGUGCAGGGGAUGCCCAUCGUUUACUGUGAAAAAAUUAGAGUGUUCAAAGCAGGCUUACGCCUUGAAUAUAUUAGCAUGGAAUAAUAAGAUAGGACCUGGGUACUAUUUUGUUGGUUUGCGCACCGAGGUAAUGAUUAAUAGGGACAGUUGGGGGUAUUCGUAUUCCAUUGUCAGAGGUGAAAUUCUUGGAUUUUUGGAAGACGAACUACUGCGAAAGCAUUUACCAAGGAUGUUUUCAUUAAUCAAGAACGAAAGUUAGGGGAUCGAAGAUGAUUAGAUACCAUCGUAGUCUUAACCAUAAACUAUGCCGACAAGGGAUUGGCGGUUGUUCGUUUUGACUCCGUCAGCACCUUAUGAGAAAUCACAAGUCUUUGGGUUCCGGGGGGAGUAUGGUCGCAAGGCUGAAACUUAAAGGAAUUGACGG
RNAcentral lists this ribosomal RNA (591 nucleotides) under Euplotes focardii. RNAcentral's name for it is "partial Eukaryotic small subunit ribosomal RNA". It matches the Rfam family "Eukaryotic small subunit ribosomal RNA", at positions 561 to 1159 of the family's 1831-position model. Lineage: Eukaryota; Ciliophora; Spirotrichea; Euplotida; Euplotidae. The record is from RNAcentral.